Molecule: ribosomal RNA, 446 nt
Filed under: uncultured bacterium
Lineage: Bacteria
Description: SSU rRNA
Rfam family: Bacterial small subunit ribosomal RNA
Source: RNAcentral
AGAGCGAACGCUGGCGGCAGGCCUAAUACAUGCAAGUCGAACGGACCCUUCGGGGUUAGUGGCGGACGGGUGAGUAACACGUGGGAACGUGCCCUUUGGUUCGGAACAACUCAGGGAAACUUGAGCUAAUACCGAAUGUGCCCUUCGGGGGAAAGAUUUAUCGCCAUUGGAGCGGCCCGCGUCUGAUUAGCUAGUUGGUGGGGUAAAGGCUCACCAAGGCGACGAUCAGUAGCUGGUCUGAGAGGAUGAUCAGCCACACUGGGACUGAGACACGGCCCAGACUCCUACGGGAGGCAGCAGUAGGGAAUCUUGCGCAAUGGGCGAAAGCCUGACGCAGCCAUGCCGCGUGAAUGAUGAAGGUCUUAGGAUUGUAAAAUUCUUUCAGCGGGGACGAUAAUGACGGUACCCGCAGAAGAAGCCCCGGCUAACUUCGUGCCAGCAGCCGC